This 701-nucleotide ribosomal RNA is filed under the name uncultured bacterium. RNAcentral's name for it is "bacterial SSU rRNA". It matches the Rfam family "Bacterial small subunit ribosomal RNA", at positions 62 to 728 of the family's 1533-position model. The record is from RNAcentral.
UCGAACGAGCUUCCGUUGAAUGACGUGCUUGCACUGAUUUCAACAAUGAAGCGAGUGGCGAACUGGUGAGUAACACGUGGGAAAUCUGCCCAGAAGCAGGGGAUAACACUUGGAAACAGGUGCUAAUACCGUAUAACAACAAAAUCCGCAUGGAUUUUGUUUGAAAGGUGGCUUCGGCUAUCACUUCUGGAUGAUCCCGCGGCGUAUUAGUUAGUUGGUGAGGUAAAGGCCCACCAAGACGAUGAUACGUAGCCGACCUGAGAGGGUAAUCGGCCACAUUGGGACUGAGACACGGCCCAAACUCCUACGGGAGGCAGCAGUAGGGAAUCUUCCACAAUGGACGAAAGUCUGAUGGAGCAAUGCCGCGUGAGUGAAGAAGGGUUUCGGCUCGUAAAACUCUGUUGUUAAAGAAGAACACCUUUGGGAGUAACUGUUCAAGGGUUGACGGUAUUUAACCAGAAAGCCACGGCUAACUACGUGCCAGCAGCCGCGGUAAUACGUAGGUGGCAAGCGUUGUCCGGAUUUAUUGGGCGUAAAGCGAGCGCAGGCGGUUUUUUAAGUCUGAUGUGAGAGCCUUCGGCUUAACCGGAGAAGUGCAUCGGAAACUGGGAGACUUGAGUGCAGAAGAGGACAGUGGAACUCCAUGUGUAGCGGUGGAAUGCGUAGAUAUAUGGAAGAACACCAGUGGCGAAGGCGGCUGU